RNAcentral lists this unclassified non-coding RNA (336 nucleotides) under soil metagenome. RNAcentral describes it as "partial contains 5.8S ribosomal RNA, internal transcribed spacer 2, and large subunit ribosomal RNA". The stretch from base 1 to 120 matches the Rfam family "5.8S ribosomal RNA", at positions 35 to 154 of the family's 154-position model. The record is from RNAcentral.
GAUGAAGAACGCAGCGAAAUGCGAUAAGUAGUGUGAAUUGCAGAAUUCAGUGAAUCAUCGAAUCUUUGAACGCACAUUGCGCCCCUUGGUAUUCCAUGGGGCAUGCCUGUUCGAGCGUCAUUUGUACCUUCAAGCUUUGCUUGGUGUUGGGUGUUUGUCUCGCCUUUGCGUGUAGACUCGCCUUAAAAUAAUUGGCAGCCGGCGUAUUGAUUUCGGAGCGCAGUACAUCUCGCGCUUUGCACUCAUAACGACAGCGUCCAAAAGUACAUUUUACACUCUUGGCCUCGGAUCAGGUAGGGAUACCCGCUGAACUUAAGCAUAUCAAUAAGCGGAGGA